GGACGGUUAGCUCAGUUGGUAGAGCACUGCUUUUACACAGCAGCUGUCAGAGGUUCGAGUCCUCUACCGUCCA
RNAcentral lists this transfer RNA (73 nucleotides) under Candidatus Levyibacteriota bacterium. Its description in RNAcentral is "tRNA-Val". It matches the Rfam family "tRNA". From Rfam's summary of the family: Transfer RNA (tRNA) molecules are approximately 80 nucleotides in length. Their secondary structure includes four short double-helical elements and three loops (D, anti-codon, and T loops). Lineage: Bacteria; Candidatus Levyibacteriota. The record is from RNAcentral.